UACCAGAUGUGCCGUGUCUAAACUAGACAUGU
Molecule: non-coding RNA, 32 nt
Filed under: Homo sapiens (human)
Lineage: Eukaryota; Metazoa; Chordata; Mammalia; Primates; Hominidae
Source: RNAcentral